RNAcentral lists this ribosomal RNA (503 nucleotides) under uncultured bacterium. RNAcentral describes it as "partial 16S ribosomal RNA". It matches the Rfam family "Bacterial small subunit ribosomal RNA", at positions 30 to 523 of the family's 1533-position model. The record is from RNAcentral.
AUUGAACGCUGGCGGCAGGCUUAACACAUGCAAGUCGAGCGGGGUGAUGGUGCUUGCACUAUCACUUAGCGGCGGACGGGUGAGUAAUGCUUAGGAAUCUGCCUAUUAGUGGGGGACAACAUCUCGAAAGGGAUGCUAAUACCGCAUACGUCCUAUGGGAGAAAGCAGGGGAUCACUUGUGACCUUGCGCUAAUAGAUGAGCCUAAGUCGGAUUAGCUAGUUGGUGGGGUAAAGGCCUAACAAGGCGACGAUCUGUAGCGGGUCUGAGAGGAAGAUCCGCCACACUGGGACUGAGACACGGCCCAGACUCCUACGGGAUGCAGCAGUGGGGAAUAUUGGACAAUGGGGGGAACCCUGAUCCAGCCAUGCCGCGUGUGUGAAGAAGGCCUUAUGGUUGUAAAGCACUUUAAGCGAGGAGGAGGCUCUUUUGGUUAAUACCCAAGAUGAGUGGACGUUACUCGCAGAAUAAGCACCGGCUAACUCUGUGCCAGCCGCCGCGGUAA